CGGGGGAUCGAAAGACCUCGCGCGAUUAGAGCGGCCGAUGCCUGAUUAGCUUGUUGGUGAGGUAAAGGCUCACCAAGGCGACGAUCUGUANCGGGUCUGAGAGGAUGAUCCGCCACACUGGGACUGAGACACGGCCCAGACUCCUACGGGAGGCAGCAGUGGGGAAUUUUGGACAAUGGGGGCAACCCUGAUCCAGCCAUGCCGCGUGAGUGAAGAAGGCCUUCGGGUUGUAAAGCUCUUUCAGCCGGGAAGAAAACGCACUCUCUAAUAUAGGGUGUGGAUGACGGUACCGGAAGAAGAAGCACCGGCUAACUACGUG
Molecule: ribosomal RNA, 319 nt
Filed under: uncultured bacterium
Lineage: Bacteria
Description: bacterial SSU rRNA
Rfam family: Bacterial small subunit ribosomal RNA
Source: RNAcentral